GAUCCUGGNUCAGGAUGAACGCUAGCGGCAGGCUUAACACAUGCAAGUCGAGGGGUAGCACGAGGUAGCAAUACUUUGGUGGCGACCGGCGCACGGGUGCGUAACGCGUAUGCAACCUACCUUUAACAGGGGCAUAACACUGAGAAAUUGGUACUAAUUCCCCAUAACAUUCGAGAAGGCAUCUUCUUGGGUUAAAAACUCCGGUGGUUAAAGAUGGGCAUGCGUUGUAUUAGCUAGUUGGUGAGGUAACGG
This 252-nucleotide ribosomal RNA is filed under the name uncultured bacterium. RNAcentral describes it as "partial 16S ribosomal RNA". It matches the Rfam family "Bacterial small subunit ribosomal RNA", at positions 15 to 263 of the family's 1533-position model. The record is from RNAcentral.